GACGAACGCUGGCGGCGUGCUUAACACAUGCAAGUCGAACGGAAAGGCCCUGCUUUUGUGGGGUGCUCGAGUGGCGAACGGGUGAGUAACACGUGAGUAACCUGCCCUUGACUUUGGGAUAACUUCAGGAAACUGGGGCUAAUACCGGAUAGGAGCUCCUGCUGCAUGGUGGGGGUUGGAAAGUUUCGGCGGUUGGGGAUGGACUCGCGGCUUAUCAGCUUGUUGGUGGGGUAGUGGCUUACCAAGGCUUUGACGGGUAGCCGGCUUGAGAGGGUGACCGGCCACAUUGGGACUAAGAUACGGCCCAGACUCCUACGGGAGGCAGCAGUGGGGAAUAUUGCACAAUGGGCGGAAGCCUGAUGCAGCAACGCCGCGUGCGGGAUGACGGCCUUCGGGUUGUAAACCGCUUUCGCCUGUGACGAAGCGUGAGUGACGGUAAUGGGUAAAGAAGCACCGGCUAACUACGUG
RNAcentral lists this ribosomal RNA (468 nucleotides) under uncultured bacterium. RNAcentral describes it as "partial 16S ribosomal RNA". It matches the Rfam family "Bacterial small subunit ribosomal RNA", at positions 28 to 507 of the family's 1533-position model. The record is from RNAcentral.